Long non-coding RNA from Numida meleagris (helmeted guineafowl), 780 nucleotides. RefSeq lists it as uncharacterized. The transcript has 4 exons. Lineage: Eukaryota; Metazoa; Chordata; Aves; Galliformes; Numididae. The record is from RefSeq and is a predicted model, not a curated record.
UUGGCAGAAAGUUCAGCCUCUAAUGUAGUAUCACUGACAUCCACCACUGUGGAUAAACAGAAUAAAAUAGGAGACAUUCCUUUUGGAGCAGCCCUCAUACAUGCAUUUAAUGGAACAAAGACAUGCCUAGAAAAUGUUUUCAGUGUCAAAAGAUUCCACCUUACCCAGUUAAGUUAACUGUCUGGCCUGCCUAAGCUUCUUGAAAUGGGAUCCUGCUCAUGUAGGAUCAGAAGUUACCAUUCCUAGCAAACUAUAGAUCAGUCCUAUAAAGACUAGUGUUCGUAUUUAACCAAAUAAUAUUUGUAUACUUAGGCAUACAAACACCUUCUGUAGCUCCAGGACUAACUAUAUGAAUUAUACUCAGAUGUAACAUGGACAACUGCAAUUUUUUUUUAAACUCCAGCAGGAACUCAUGUUGGUUGAACAUUAAUAUACAACAUUAUCAUAUCUUCACAGAUUGUAUUGCAGCAAAGAAGUAGAAAAGGAAGGUCAAAGAUGGGAAACUUCUAAGCAGCACUUUAAUAAACAAAUAAAGGUACAGAAUCAUUGAAGUCACUGAUGUGGUUUGCAAGUUGUCUCAUUCUGUGCUGUGAAUCAAUCAAGCUGCACAAGGGGUCAGUGAAUCAGUACACCACUCUACUUUGUGGGACCUCAGGGAUUCAAGGAAUGUCGAUCCAUGGUCCUAUUCCACUGAGGCCACAGCAUCCACAGUGUUGUCAUAAGAACUGCUUCAGAAAAAUUCUUAAAGAUACAAGUUCACAAAUAAAUUUUCAACUUUCA